AUGCUCCCUGGGCCCAGGAAACAUAAAGCCGAGCCCAUGGUCCACAGGGCGCUCCGGGACAGGGGAGUCUUCUUACGCACAGGGGUGGGCAGAGGGCGAGGGGCGGCUCAUUGGGAUCCGUCCGAGUGGCUUGUCCCUAGAGUCUCUGGAAGCCCCCACGGGCCAUUUUCCCCGGACCUAAGCCACCGACCCACCCAGGGUCAAGCCAGACCUGACGGAGGCCCCGGGGGCGGGCAGGGCCGACCGGAGCUUUGCGAGCCGCCUCCCUGCGGGAGGGAUCCGCGGGCAAGCACAGCGGCCCUCACCGCGACUUCCUUGGCUCUGGGAGCUCCGAGACGGAGGGAGGCCAGCUCCGAGCAAAGACGCGGCCCGGCUCCGGGCUUCCGGGCGCCGCCGCCGGCCGCGAGGCCCCGAGCCUGGGACUCGGAGGGGGCGCGCCGGGAGGGUGGGCUCGGGGCGCGGGGCGGGGCGGGGCGGGCCGGCAGGAAGUGCCCGGGGGCUCCGGCAGCCCGACCUCCGGGGCUGCCACGGCCGGAGCGCGGCGGGGUGCCCAGCGAGCGCCCCGAGCCUCCCGAGCGCCCCGAGCCUCCGGCUCCCGUCGCUGCGUGCGGAGCCCGAGAGUCCCCUGUCAGGGGUGGAUGGGCUGUGGCUGCUGCGUGCCCAGAGACCAGGUAAGAAGUUAGCAUUGCAGUCCAAGAACGAGAUGGCAAGGUCUGAACCAGACCUGUGGCAGCAGAGACGGUGAGCAGGAGACAGACACCCACAGGCAGGCAGUGAGUACCAUUAAGAGACAGCGGGGGAAUGACCCCAGGGAGGGGGAAGAAGGAGCCACAGGGGAGGUUGACAUGCAAAGGAAAGGCUAGGAGGACGGGGGAGUGCAGGUCCCAGAAGCCAGGGAGCAGGGGCUGGGCCACAGUGCCACAUGCUGAGAGAGAGCCCAGUGAUGUGAGGUGGUGAGGAUUCAGCUGUGCCAGAGUGGCAUCAGUGCAGGAUGGCAGUGGGUUAGGGAUUCGGGAGAGGGGACUCGGGCAGAUAUUUCCAAGUGAAGCCUAGGGAAGCAGCCAGAAGAAGGUCUAGGGUAAAGGAGCAUUUUUGCAUUGAAAAAAAGGGAAACUUGUGCAUACUGAUUUCCCUGAGAAAGAUUGCCCAGCUCCCAAAUCAUCUGAGAUCCAAGCUUUUUUAAACUAUGACUGCUCUUUUCAACUCGUAGCUCAAAGUGGCUGCUUGAGCUGCAGUCCUUUAAUCAACCUUCCAGGCAGCAGGAAGAAGGAAAGGGUGAGGAGAGACAUGCUCCCUCCUCAGUCUAAGGAUAUUUCUGAUUAUCAGAUAUAAAGAAUAACAUUUAUUGAUGACAAAAGGAUCGAUCUACCAGGAUGAUACCACAACUCCAACUCUGUAUAAAUAAUUGCAAAAUGUCUCAAGUAAAAAUGAACAGAACUGAAGGAGAGACAAAUUCAUGGUCACUGUGGGAGUCUUUCAACAGAGAGAGGGACAAGCAGAUACAAAAUCAGUAAGGAAAUAGAUGUGAAAAGUGCUGUUAACAAAUUUGGCCUCACGAGCACACAGAGUUCCGUACCCUACAACGGCAGUUUUCAUGUCAUUUAUUCAAAUGCACGUGAAACAUAUGCCCCCAAAAUGAGACCUCUAAGAAACUGCGUACAGCACUUCUGCCUACAUGCCAGGAGUUAACCCUGCUGCACCCCACAGGAAGGGGUGCCGGGCAGUGUCUGCUCCAGGUGGCCAGUACCCACUAGCACUGAGGGAUUCUGGUCCUGAGGCCAAAGGAGAGAACACGUAUCAAGGAAACCAGCCAUCUGUGUCCCUUCCUCAAUGCCUCCCCCGAUAGCUCUGGUUCUGAGAGCCACGCCCAACUGGUAAGACCUUGGGCAGGUCAGACGCUCUGCACUCUCUCCUGCCUCUGCCUCUUACUUGCUAUGUGACUCUGGACGGCUUAUGUAACUAGCUAAGCCUCUGUUACCUGAUUUUUCAAAAUGGGAGUAACUUGUACUUCCUAGGUCUGUUGGGAAGAUGGGAUAAGAUGACAUGUAUAAAGCACUUAAUUCUGUUCCUGGCACAUAAUAAGUGGACAAUAAAUGUGAGCUGCACAGACAGGUCAGGUAACUUACCCGAGGUCACACAGCCGAGAAAUGACAAGGCUAGCUUUUAGAUCCAAGCAUCUGGCUCCAAGCUGGUACUGCCAACUUCUCCAGGGCCUCUGCCACCCCCAGAACGGGGCCCUACCCAUAGCAGGGGUGCAGUGGGGGAUAGGAAACUGCUACCAGCAAUUAGUCAUGUCACUUUAGAGAGUGUUAGUGGGGACAUUCCGUCUCCGCAGAAGGUCGACUUAAUGAACCCAAAAUUUCCCAUGACCCUGACAUUCUGUGGUUCUGUCUCUACCACUAAUGGGUGAAAUUUUACCUUUAAAAAUGUGUUUCUUUUUGUUAAAUCCUGUCUUCUGCCUCAACUCCUUUUUCAGAAAUACGAUUUUCCUUUAGAGGGUCCUGACUCCUCAGUUUACAGGUCUAGAAGAGUCUGUGGCAUGGUUCUGUGGGCCCUGUUUGGGAGGAGAGCUACAGACAGGAGAGGCCAGGCCCCAAACAAACUGUCCAGUUGCUAAUGGCCCACGCUGGUGCAGAGGAGCUCUUGUCAGGGCCACCUGUGGAAUGACCGCAUAAUAGCUCCGGUUCCAGUCGCCCAGCUGACCCCAUCUGUCACCAUGUUUUGCACAUUUUUUUAUAGGCUUCCUUUUUUCUCCUUCUGUAUUUUUUUUUCCACCACACUGCCUCUCAGACAAAAUUGGAGAAAAAUGGGUUUUGUCCUUUUUUAACCAGAAGACUAAAACUCUUAAAUUACCUUCUUCAAGUUCUGCAAAUAGAAAUCCCAAAUAAGCCACCUUUUCCUUUCUCUCUUCCUCUCCCUGUCUUAGGAGCCCAGGAGCUUGAAAUAAAAGGCAGAAUGGUGGUUUAGGAGGAAUGAUCUGGGCUUGGCCCAGCACUGACCCAGGAAAAGGAGUGGGGUGGUGGCAAGGAGGGGUGGCUGGAGGGGGGCAGUGAGGGAGAAAGAGAUGUAAGGGAGCAAAGCCAGUGCCCCAUUGCUUAUGUUUCUAGAUUAAAAGAGGUUCCAAAAAAAAAUUUUUUUUAAAUAAUAAUAAAAGAGGUUCCCUCGAGACAGCCAGUUACUCAGGGAGCAGCCACUCUGAGUGUUAGAGCACAGGUGGGUGCCCAGGAGAAGAAGAAAGUACAAGGGUCGUUGUUCAGAGUCACUGAGAAGCACUAAGGACUACCAGGUGCAGUGAACCUCCUCUACCUGUGUCACCCCACCUAUGUCGCAGUUCCCAGGGACUCCAUCAGUGGGCAUCAGGACAAGGAGAGGGAGCAUGUCUCCAGGGCAAACACUAGGAAUUUUAGGGCUGGAGUCCUGGGUCCUAAUCCCUGCUAUGCAUGCUAAUAGUAAUAGCUAACAUUUAUUGAGCACUUAAUGUGUGCCAAGGAUUAUGCUAAACACCUCACAUAGAUUUAAUCUUCUAAACAAGCCUUCAAUGUAGGCAUCAUUAUCAUCUCUGCUACAGAUGAUGACACUGAGGAACGGGAGGUUGCAUGACUUGCCCAGAGUCUCGCGUAUCUUGUGGCAGACCUGGGUUGAACCCAGGGAGUCAGACUGCAGAGCUCUUGUACUUCCUUCUGCCAAAUGACUAGGUCUGCUGCUCUACUUCCUCGUUUGGAAAGUCGAGGUACAGGGGACCAGUGGGGUGGAGUGGGUGAAGUUGAGGUCCUUUCCAGUGUGGACUGUCUGAUCUGGAGCUCAUGCCUCACCUGGGCACACAGAGGUCCUGAGUGCCAGAGUCCAGGGCCAAGCAGGCAUGCCAGGUGUGCAUGAGGAGACGCGUGUGUGUGUGUGUGUAAAACAGGUACAUCUAGUCCUGUGACCCUGGUGACACAGCAGAGGGGAGUAUGAAUGCAACAAGACCAGUGCAAAGUCUGUAGGAAGACUUGUAGGUUAGAGUCAUGGCAAAGGGGCAAAACCAAGAUCCAGAGAGCCUAGAAAAUUCUGCCCAGUUCACGUCUAUUGUGCAUCCGUCAGCCUUUACAUUUCCCUGAUCUUUGCUCCCAGGUUUUAUACCCACAGCCUCCGACCCACCUAGCCAAAGAGGUUAGGAAGGGGCUCUGGCUCUGGGAA
This 4176-nucleotide long non-coding RNA is filed under the name Canis lupus familiaris (dog). RNAcentral describes it as "lncRNA (ENSCAFG00040024107.1)". Lineage: Eukaryota; Metazoa; Chordata; Mammalia; Carnivora; Canidae. The record is from RNAcentral.